This 267-nucleotide ribosomal RNA is filed under the name uncultured bacterium. Its description in RNAcentral is "partial 16S ribosomal RNA". It matches the Rfam family "Bacterial small subunit ribosomal RNA", at positions 338 to 621 of the family's 1533-position model. The record is from RNAcentral.
CCUACGGGGGGCAGCAGUGGGGGAUAUUGCACAAUGGGGGGAACCCUGAUGCAGCGACGCCGCGUGGGUGAAGAAGUAUUUCGGUAUGUAAAGCCCUAUCGGCAGGGAAGAAAUUGGACGGUACCUGACCAAGAAGCCCCGGCUAAAUACGUGCCAGCAGCCGCGGUAAUACGUAUGGGGCAAGCGUUAUCCGGAUUUACUGGGUGUAAAGGGAGCGUAGGCGGCAGGGCAAGCCUGAUGUGAAAGCCCGGGGCCCAACCCCGGGAC